ACUCCAUUUUCUAAUUUGUUUGUAAAAAUGAUACAAAAUAUUAAAACAUAAUACAGUUGGCCCUCCAGAUCCAUGGGUUCCAUAUCCAUGGAUUCAACCAACCACAGAUUGAAAAUAUUUUGAAAAAACUGUGUAUCUCUAUUGCAUAUGUACAGACUUUUUUUCUUGUCAUUGUUUUGUAUACAAUACAGCAUAACAGCUAUUUACAUAGCACUUAUAUUGUAUUAGGUAUUAUAAGUAACAUAUGGAGAUGAUUUACAGCCUAUGGGAGGAUAUGUGUAGUUUAUAUGUAAAUACUCUGCCAUGUAUAUCAGGGACUUGAGCAUCUAUGGAUUUUCGUAUCCAUGGUUAUGGUAUCUGUGGGGUAUUCUAGAGCCAAUCCCCCAUGGGUACUGAGGGAUGACUGUACUUAAAAAAUAGGCACACAAUCUCAUGAGUUAUCGUCACUUACGUACGAAAGCUUUUCUGGUUGUAAUUGUUGUUUUGUCAUGAAGAUAUUAAAGCCUUGGUCUCAAAUAAUUUUUAGGGAAUUAUUUCUUUUUUUUCUUUUUUUUUUUUUUGAGAUGGAAUCUCCCUCUGUCGCCCGGGCUGGAGUGCAGUGGCACGAUCUCGGCUUACCGCAACCUCCGCCUCCUGGGUUCAAACAAUUCUCCUGCCUCGGCCUCCUGAGUAGCUGGGAUUACAGGAAUCAAGUUUGCUAAGAGACCACCAGUGCUGAAUGCACUUUGUUCUGGCAAGAGCAGAAAACUGAGAAGCCGUGUUACCUACCACUACCUGGGAU
RNAcentral lists this small RNA (781 nucleotides) under Pongo abelii (Sumatran orangutan). Its description in RNAcentral is "retained intron". Lineage: Eukaryota; Metazoa; Chordata; Mammalia; Primates; Hominidae. The record is from RNAcentral.